AUUGAACGCUGGCGGCAUGCCUUACACAUGCAAGUCGAACGGCAGCACGGGUGCUUGCACCUAGUGGCGAGUGGCGAACGGGUGAGUAAUACAUCGGAACGUACCUUAUCGUGGGGGAUAACGCAGCGAAAGCUGUGCUAAUACCGCAUACGCCCUGAGGGGGAAAGCGGGGGAUCGAAAGACCUCGCGCGAUUAGAGCGGCCGAUGCCUGAUUAGCUUGUUGGUGGGGUAAAAGCCCACCAAGGCGACGAUCAGUAGCUGGUCUGAGAGGACGAUCAGCCACACUGGGACUAAGACACGGCACAGACUCCUACGGGAGGCAGCAGUGGGGAAUUUUGGACAAUGGGGGCAACCCUGAUCCAGCAAUGCCGCGUGAGUGAAGAAGGCCUUCGGGUUGUAAAGCUCUUUUGUCAGGGAAGAAACACCGGCUCUAACACAGUCCGGGAAUGACGGUACCUGAAGAAUAAGCACCGGCUAACUACGUGCCAGCCGCCGCCGUAA
This 501-nucleotide ribosomal RNA is filed under the name uncultured bacterium. RNAcentral describes it as "partial 16S ribosomal RNA". It matches the Rfam family "Bacterial small subunit ribosomal RNA", at positions 30 to 523 of the family's 1533-position model. The record is from RNAcentral.